Molecule: long non-coding RNA, 639 nt
Organism: Homo sapiens (human)
Lineage: Eukaryota; Metazoa; Chordata; Mammalia; Primates; Hominidae
Source: Ensembl
GGAAUCCGUUUCCUCUCCGCAUCAGUGGCAGAGAUGUCCCUGCCCCAACCGACAGGGUCUCACUGUGUCACCAAGGCUGGCUCAAUCACGGCUCACUGCAGCCUCGACCUCCUGUGUUCAAGCGAUCCUCCUGCCUCAGCCUCCCGAGUAGCUGGGACUAUAGGGGUGCACCACCAUGCCCAGGUUUUGGCCAGCUUCUUUACUGCAUCCUGUUUUACCAGUGGGAUCAGUGGGGUCUUUGUGACCCGUAUCUUGUAUUGACCUCCUCUCUCAUCCUGUGACUAAGAAUGCCAAACCUCGUGGGAAAGCAGCCCAGCAGGUCCCACCCUUAUUUCAUCUAGCCCCUGUUCAAGAUGGAAUUGCUCUUCUUGGAACACCUCUGACAUAUUUCCCCCCUCCCUUUUACGAGGGGACUCUUAAGCCUAAGGGUUGUAGAGGGUUGUAGAUCUAUCCUCUGUAACGUCUUCAGGCUGAAUAGGGGAGAUAAUAUUUUUGCCUAAUUAUUAGGGUCUUUUGUAUUCAGGGUAGAGAAGAGCUCAGUCAGUUAUGGUGAAGGCCAUUCAUAACUCUUCCAGAUAUCACCUUCUGUUCUGACAAAAGGUGCUAUGUGAAAGAUAAUAAAUGUUCAAUUUAAGAAAA